This is a long non-coding RNA of Pecten maximus, 819 nucleotides long. RefSeq lists it as uncharacterized. Lineage: Eukaryota; Metazoa; Mollusca; Bivalvia; Pectinida; Pectinidae. The transcript has 2 exons. The record is from RefSeq and is a predicted model, not a curated record.
UCAGGGACUCGGUUAAAAAAAUGAGCACAAGGUUAACGUGACGACAGCUGUUCAGUGAAAUAUCACAACAUUAAAAAAGCAGAGUUUAUAUACUCUCUGAAGCCUUGAAAAAAUGGAUUUUGUAAGAUUUUAUAAUUUGAAUGAAUGUUGGAUUUUUAGUCUUUCGAUUAUUUAUAGAUGUCAUAUGUUACCCAAAUUUUAACGCCGAACCCCUGUGACCUGGGUAAUACACAGACAUGCCAGGGUCCCUUGACCACUGUUUGUGUUGUUUUGAACCCACAUAAUACGAAGUGUCAAAGUCAGAGUCAGCCAAGUGUGACACAGGUAACUUUUCAUGACCUUUGUCUCGGAUCGACCCACACGCUCUAUAGAACUUGUCAUGUAUACAACUGUAGGACCCGGAUGACAACAUCCCGUAAUUAGAAUUACGACUUCUUUUGCCUAAGUUAUCGCGGCUGAGGAAUACCUUGAUAUUAGCUCAAGAUUACUGAGGAAUAGAGCUCCACGAGAGCGAUGAUGAUGGUACUGACUCGGAAACACAUGCGUUACAGAUCGCGAGGCCCGCGAAUGCCUUGACAAGUUGAAAUCAAUCGUAUUUGUAAGUAAGGUCAGCUCGGAAAGAGUCAAACAAACACUGGUCAGUGAUUAUUUCGCAGCUGUAAAACGUGAUUAGCGCGAUCGUGAUAUGACAUUAUGUAGCCGUUGUAGGCCUAUUGUGCAUUGGUAGGCCAACUGUAAAUAACAAAAGACUGAACGCCACGCACUUACAAUGUACAAUGUUUUAAACAUUAUAAUUUUAAUAUUAAAUGAUUAAAUUAA